CGCCUCCCCUGAUGACUUGCACUGGGCUCUGAGUCAGUAUGGAGACAACGUGCAUCUCUGGAUUUAAGCACAAGCCAGAGUUUCUGAGGAGAAG
This is a small nucleolar RNA of Betta splendens (Siamese fighting fish), 94 nucleotides long. The record is from Ensembl. NCBI's taxonomy places the organism in Eukaryota, Metazoa, Chordata, Actinopteri, Anabantiformes, Osphronemidae.